CUUCCUCCUAAUAUCUAACCUAAACCUCCCCUGCCUCAGUUUAAUACCAUUCGCCCUUGUCCUAUCACUAUGUCUUGGACUUCAUUAAAACAGAACAAACAAACAAAAAAUCCCUGAGAAGUCCAUACUUGCAGAGAUUUUGUAAAUGCCAUGAAGAAGAGUAUGUACUUCUUUCCCAGUGUCAAUCACCAAUCUGCAAGCACUAGCACACAGCAAAGGGCAUCCUGCCCAUGCUGAACAUAGGCUAUAGCUUGAGAAUCCAUGGCUUUUAAUUUCCUGACUCUUGUGCUGCUGGCCUUGCCACCUAUUUUAUUAACACUAUGUAUCUCAAGUAUUUUUUCUUCUCUGUUAUCUUUUAUAAGCAGUGCACAUUCUGUUAAAUGCAUACUGACUGAUAUAAAACAUUUUAUAUUAUGUAUGUUUAUAAUUAAUUUCUCAAGUGUUCUUUCUUAGUAACAGGACAAGGAUUUCAAGUCAAGUUUUUUAACAAGCAAGAUCUGUCAUUAACAUAAACUUCAGCUCUGCACAUGUGCUGAAGAGACAGAAACUGCAACAUGCAGCGGGCCUGUGAUAUAAUGGGAGAUCUUCAGGAGCUGGAAGACAACAGUGGAAAAGCCCCAGAGGGAUGUGAAAAGAAGCAGCAGCAGCAGCCUAGAGCAGUGUAGCAGCCUGAAGGGAUCGGUUGCUCUCUGAAAUAACUCAGUGCUAUAGGGUAGGCUGAAAUGUAGCUUAGAAAUGUACAAGAGCUCACAUUAAAUUCAGUAAGACUACAUAAGUAAACAAACACCACUUGGCCUGCACAUGGUUGUGGAACCAGACACAAAGGUAAAGCCAUUAGGGUAGAAAAUAUAAAUCAGUAUAUAUGUAGCACAGGGGAUGCUUGGCCUUUUGAAAUCCCUAACUGCCACAGAAAGAAAGAUGUCAGAAACAAAAACUGGGCCUGGUCACAAAUUAGCUUCUAGGGUAAAUGAGCAGAGGGUGAACUUGAGUUCAUUCAGGGCAGGUUUAUCCCUCUGUUUGUGCAUAUAAAGAGCAUGGAGUGACUAGGCUAGGAAAUCAUGAUCACAGAGGGAGAACUGCAUCUCAGACUCUGAUGAGCGAGACAAAGCAUUUUUUGGAGAUUAGAUCAGACUGGACAAGCACUGGUAGUGCUAGGUGAGAGUCACAGUGGUGAGGGACUAGGAUGGCCAUCACACAAGAAGGAGGGCAGGAGCUGCUGCUAGGGCUUACUCUGAAGGUAGAAGCGUCUCUUCUUGAACUUACUUAUGCAGUUUGUCUGCCCCUGGUUUCACUCAUCAUGGUUCUGUCUAUUUGGGGGUGCCUGCAUGUCCAGGGACAGGGACAGGGACAGUAUAUUCACUCUGAUUCUAAUUCAGAGAAAUAUGAAAAACAGAAAUGCAGUUGUUUGGAUCCAAUGAGAUGCUGAACUGAGUGCGUGGGACAUACACUGUGUGUUGUAAGGAAAAGCUUCAUUCUCCUUCCUCAGGAAAGAAUAAAAAAAUUGUCAACCUCUUGUUCAUUUACUGCAGUCUGACUAGGUUUACUCUUAAGCUAGAAGCUGUGAAAGGUAUUAUUUAAAAUUACCAGCCUUAUAGUGUGUAUUUAUACAUGCCAGCCUAUAGACUUGUGUGUUGUCCCAAUUGCAAAUUAGAUUAUGCUUGGUUGUGCCUUUAGAAUCAAGAGUUAAAAAGCUUUGUAAAUACUUUGUAAGAAAGUGUAAAAAUAGGAAAAUAAUAUUCACAUUACUCUUGACUUUAAUACAAAUCACAGUUUAAUCACAUUAAAUUAGAAACAAACUCACAUCCACAAAAAAGGACAAAGCCUGCUCUUAAAAAAAGUUGGCUGUUCUUGAUUAACCAAAGAGCUGUCAACACAGGAAGUGUACAGGCAGAAUUUCUUUCAUGAUCGUUUCCCAGGUAAAGGCAUAAUAAGCUCUAAACAGCUUUAAGACAAACAGCUGAGAAUGUAAGACGAGAGGCUUAUGACCCGUUGAAGUAAUUCUCCUGGACCUAGCCCUAAACUGAAAAUUCAGGUCACAUUAUUUUCAAAAAGAAACGAUAAGUAGAUAGGAAACAAACAAACAAACAAACAAAAA
Long non-coding RNA from Gallus gallus (chicken), 2095 nucleotides. RefSeq lists it as uncharacterized. Lineage: Eukaryota; Metazoa; Chordata; Aves; Galliformes; Phasianidae. The transcript is spliced from 2 exons. The record is from RefSeq and is a predicted model, not a curated record.